This 255-nucleotide ribosomal RNA is filed under the name uncultured bacterium. Its description in RNAcentral is "partial 16S ribosomal RNA". It matches the Rfam family "Bacterial small subunit ribosomal RNA", at positions 524 to 777 of the family's 1533-position model. The record is from RNAcentral.
UACGUAGGGGGCAAGCGUUGUCCGGAUUCAUUGGGCGUAAAGAGCGUGUAGGCGGCCAGGUAGGUCGGUUGUGAAAACUGGAGGCUCAACCUUCAGAGGUCGACCGAAACCAUCUGGCUAGAGUCCGGGAGAGGAGAGUGGAAUUCCGUGGUGUAGCGGUGAAAUGCGCAGAUAUCUGGAGGAACACCGGUGGCGAAGGCGACAUCCUGGACCGGUAUUGACGCUGAGGCGCGAAAGCCAGGGGAGCAAAGCAGG